Molecule: ribosomal RNA, 668 nt
Filed under: uncultured Thermoplasmatales archaeon
Lineage: Archaea; Methanobacteriati; Thermoplasmatota; Thermoplasmata; Thermoplasmatales
Description: bacterial SSU rRNA
Rfam family: Archaeal small subunit ribosomal RNA
Source: RNAcentral
GUGCCAGCCGCCGCGCGGUAAUACCCGCAGCUCAAGUGGUGGUCGCUUUUAUUGAGCCUAAAACGUUCGUAGUCGGCCUUGUAAAUCCCUGGGUAAAUCGGGGCGCUUAACGUUUCGAAUUCCGGGGAGACUGUAAGGCUAGGGACCGGGCGAGGUCAGAGGUACUUUCGGGGUAGGAGUGAAAUCCUGUAAUCCCGAAGGGACCACCUGUGGCGAAAGCGUCUGACUUGAACGGCUCCGACGAUGAGGUACGAAGGCUAGGGGAGCAAACCGGAUUAGAUACCCGGGUAGUCCUAGCUGUAAACUCUGCCCGCUUGGUGUGGCCUGUACUUCGGGUGCAGGCUGUGCCGGAGCGAAGGUGUUAAGCGGGCUGCUUGGGGAGUACGGCCGCAAGGUUGAAACUUAAAGGAAUUGGCGGGGGAGCACCGCAACGGGAGGAUGCGUGCGGUUUAAUUGGAUUCAACGCCGGAAAACUCACCUGAGGCGACCAGCGUAUGUGUGUCAGGCUGAAGACCUUACUCGAACAAAAGCUGGAGAGGUGGUGCAUGGCCAUCGUCAGCUCGUACCGUAGGGCAUUCACUUAAGUGUGAUAACGAGCGAGACCCCCAUCCCUAGUUGCUAACUUUUCCGAAAGGAAGGGUGCACUCUAGGGAGACCGCUUCUGCUAA